GCAGAUGUGGCCGAGUGGUUAAGCGACUGUCUCGAAAUCAGUUUCCAUCUUAGAGCGUAGGUUCGAAUCCUACCAUCUGCG
This 81-nucleotide transfer RNA is filed under the name Daphnia magna. RNAcentral describes it as "tRNA-Ser". It matches the Rfam family "tRNA". Rfam says of the family: Transfer RNA (tRNA) molecules are approximately 80 nucleotides in length. Their secondary structure includes four short double-helical elements and three loops (D, anti-codon, and T loops). Lineage: Eukaryota; Metazoa; Arthropoda; Branchiopoda; Diplostraca; Daphniidae. The record is from RNAcentral.